This 80-nucleotide transfer RNA is filed under the name Lachnospiraceae bacterium. Its description in RNAcentral is "tRNA-Leu". It matches the Rfam family "tRNA". Rfam says of the family: Transfer RNA (tRNA) molecules are approximately 80 nucleotides in length. Their secondary structure includes four short double-helical elements and three loops (D, anti-codon, and T loops). Further hydrogen bonds mediate the characteristic L-shaped molecular structure. tRNAs have two regions of fundamental functional importance: the anti-codon, which is responsible for specific mRNA codon recognition, and the 3' end, to which the tRNAs corresponding amino acid is attached (by aminoacyl-tRNA synthetases). tRNAs cope with the degeneracy of the genetic code in two manners: having more than one tRNA (with a specific anti-codon) for a particular amino acid; and 'wobble' base-pairing, i.e. permitting non-standard base-pairing at the 3rd anti-codon position. Lineage: Bacteria; Bacillati; Bacillota; Clostridia; Lachnospirales; Lachnospiraceae. The record is from RNAcentral.
GCGGAUGUGAUGGAAUUGGUAGACAUGCAAGAUUUAGGUUCUUGUGCGAAAGCGUGUGGGUUCGAGUCCCUUCAUCCGCA